AGAUUGAACGCUGGCGGCAUGCCUUACACAUGCAAGUCGAACGGCAGCACGGGAGCAAUCCUGGUGGCGAGUGGCGAACGGGUGAGUAAUACAUCGGAACGUGCCCAGUAGUGGGGGAUAGCCCGGCGAAAGCCGGAUUAAUACCGCAUACGACCUAUGGGUGAAAGCGGGGGAUCGCAAGACCUCGCGUUAUUGGAGCGGCCGAUGGCAGAUUAGGUUGUUGGUGAGGUAAAAGCUCACCAAGCCGACGAUCUGUAGCUGGUUUGAGAGGACGACCAGCCACACUGGGACUGAGACACGGCCCAGACUCCUACGGGAGCAGCAGUGGGAAUUUUGGACAAUGGGCGCAAGCCUGAUCCAGCCAUGCCGCGUGCGGGAAGAAGGCCUUCGGUUGUAAACCGCUUUUUGUCGAGGAAGAAACGGUCUGAUCAAUACAUCGGACUAAUGACGUACCUAGAAGAAUAAGCACCGACUAACUACGUGACC
Molecule: ribosomal RNA, 486 nt
Filed under: uncultured soil bacterium
Lineage: Bacteria
Description: bacterial SSU rRNA
Rfam family: Bacterial small subunit ribosomal RNA
Source: RNAcentral